Non-coding RNA from Acanthosepion pharaonis, 113 nucleotides. NCBI's taxonomy places the organism in Eukaryota, Metazoa, Mollusca, Cephalopoda, Sepiida, Sepiidae. The record is from the annotation of a GenBank genome assembly.
UACAGCCACAUCACGUUGAAAAACCGGAUCCCGUAUGAUCACCGAAGUUAAGCAACGUCGAGCAUGGUCAGUACAUAGAUGGGUGACCGCUUGGGUAUACCAGGUGCUGUAAG